Cannabis sativa is the source of this 74-nucleotide small nucleolar RNA. RefSeq annotates it as small nucleolar RNA R66. NCBI's taxonomy places the organism in Eukaryota, Viridiplantae, Streptophyta, Magnoliopsida, Rosales, Cannabaceae. The record is from RefSeq and is a predicted model, not a curated record. The transcript has a single exon.
UCCGAUGAUGGCAUGAAAUCUUUGAGACCUGAAUCUCCUAAUUGAUGACAUCUACAAGCAUAAUCGCUGAGGAU